CAAACCCUUACUUCCCACAGCAGUCUUCACCAUCCGAGACCACACAAGGUAGUUGCUACCUUUGAACGUAACCGCUACCUUCAUCCUCAUGUUCAUCCCAUGUUCCAUCUUUGCUUGACUUGAAAACUUGAAUCUUGAAUCUCGUACACACCAACCUUGAGUCUAGAAUCACGCAACCACACAGAACGUAGCACAGCUUCAACUAGAACGUAACACAGCUUCAACACCUUCAAGACUACUCGCGUGUAGCUUCAAAGCCGUUAGCUUGUAACUCUCUAAAGAUCAAACCCCAGAUUCAAACGAACCUGGCUCUGAUACCAUCUGAGAUUAAGAGAUCCUUAGAGUAAUCAGAAUAAAGAGAGUGUUUAAGAAGUGAUUAAGAGAAGUUUGUGAAAGAUUAAGAGAUUAGAUAGAGCCGUUUAGAGUCUAAGAGAGAACCAUAGUGUCUAAGAGAUUAGAGAGACUCAAACUGCAUAAUCUUAUUAAUGAGUGAGGUUACAUAUUUAUAUAGAAAGCAUUAGGGUUUACAAGAGGCGAAAUGGGCACUAUUGGAGCAUGUAGAGUCAAGGAUGCUUUCCGGAUGAUUGGAUGAUAAGGCUCACACGCUUUGCCUCUUUACAGCCUGUUCCAGCCUGGCACGCUCUUCCCUUAUCC
RNAcentral lists this long non-coding RNA (654 nucleotides) under Brassica napus (rape). RNAcentral's name for it is "long non-coding RNA (BNAP_LNC015237)". Lineage: Eukaryota; Viridiplantae; Streptophyta; Magnoliopsida; Brassicales; Brassicaceae. The record is from RNAcentral.